This 462-nucleotide ribosomal RNA is filed under the name uncultured bacterium. Its description in RNAcentral is "partial 16S ribosomal RNA". It matches the Rfam family "Bacterial small subunit ribosomal RNA", at positions 28 to 507 of the family's 1533-position model. The record is from RNAcentral.
GACGAACGCUGGCGGCGUGCUUAACACAUGCAAGUCGAGCGGAAAGGCCCUUCGGGGUACUCGAGCGGCGAACGGGUGAGUAACACGUGAGUAACCUGCCCCAGACUUUGGGAUAACCCUCGGAAACGGGGGCUAAUACCGGAUACGACACAGCUUCGCAUGGGGUCUGUGUGGAAAGUUUUUCGGUUUGGGAUGGGCUCGCGGCCUAUCAGCUUGUUGGUGGGGUGAUGGCCUACCAAGGCGACGACGGGUAGCCGGCCUGAGAGGGCGACCGGCCACACUGGGACUGAGACACGGCCCAGACUCCUACGGGAGGCAGCAGUGGGGAAUAUUGCACAAUGGGCGGAAGCCUGAUGCAGCGACGCCGCGUGAGGGGUGACGGCCUUCGGGUCGUAAACCUCUUUCAGCAGGGACGAAGCGUAAGUGACGGUACCUGCAGAAGAAGCGCCGGCCAACUACGUG